AUACGAAGGUGGCGAGCGUUGUUCGGAAUCACUGGGCAUAAAGCGCACGCAGGCGGCGCGAUAAGUUGGAUGUGAAAUCCCUCGGCCCAACCGAGGAACUGCGUCCAAAACUGUCGGGCUUGAGAUCGGGAGGGGUGCACGGAAUUCCGGGUGGAGCGGUGAAAUGCGUUGAGAUCCGGAGGAACACCGGCGGCGAAGGCGGUGCACUGGUCCGAUACUGACGCUGAGGUGCGAAAGCUAGGGUAGCAAACGGGAUUAGAAACCCCAGUAGUCC
Molecule: ribosomal RNA, 274 nt
Filed under: uncultured bacterium
Lineage: Bacteria
Description: partial 16S ribosomal RNA
Rfam family: Bacterial small subunit ribosomal RNA
Source: RNAcentral